This 76-nucleotide transfer RNA is filed under the name bacterium. Its description in RNAcentral is "tRNA-Thr". It matches the Rfam family "tRNA". Rfam says of the family: Transfer RNA (tRNA) molecules are approximately 80 nucleotides in length. The record is from RNAcentral.
GCCGAUGUAGCUCAGUUGGUAGAGCGUUUGAUUCGUAAUCAAAAGGUCAUCAGUUCGAUCCUGAUCAUCGGCUCCA